GGUCAAGCGAACAAGUGCAUGUGGUGGAUGCCUUGGCGAUCACAGGCGAUGAAGGACGCGGUAGCCUGCGAAAAGCUACGGGGAGCUGGCAAACGAGCUUUGAUCCGUAGAUGUCCGAAUGGGGAAACCCACUCCGAAUGGAGUAUCCAUGACUGAAUCCAUAGGUCAUGUGAAGCGAACGCGGGCGAACUGAAACAUCUAA
This 202-nucleotide non-coding RNA is filed under the name Paraburkholderia phenazinium. Its description in RNAcentral is "Burkholderia phenazinium Bacterial large subunit ribosomal RNA". It matches the Rfam family "Bacterial large subunit ribosomal RNA", at positions 1 to 205 of the family's 2925-position model. Lineage: Bacteria; Pseudomonadati; Pseudomonadota; Betaproteobacteria; Burkholderiales; Burkholderiaceae. The record is from Rfam by way of RNAcentral.